UACAGAGGGUGCGAGCGUUAAUCGGAAUUACUGGGCGUAAAGCGCACGUAGGUGGCGACGUAAGUCUGUCGUGAAAGCCCCGGGCUCAACCUGGGAAUGGCGAUGGAUACUGGCUCGCUAGAGUGCGGUAGAGGAGAGUGGAAUUCCCGGUGUAGCAGUGAAAUGCGUAGAGAUCGGGAGGAACAUCAGUUGCGAAGGCGGCUCUCUGGACCAGCACUGACACUGAGGCACGAAAGCGUGGGGAGCAAACAGG
This 253-nucleotide ribosomal RNA is filed under the name uncultured bacterium. Its description in RNAcentral is "partial 16S ribosomal RNA". It matches the Rfam family "Bacterial small subunit ribosomal RNA", at positions 524 to 776 of the family's 1533-position model. The record is from RNAcentral.